AUUGAACGCUGGCGGCAGGCCUAACACAUGCAAGUCGAGCGGAUGACGGGAGCUUGCUCCUUGAUUCAGCGGCGGACGGGUGAGUAAUGCCUAGGAAUCUGCCUGGUAGUGGGGGACAACGUUUCGAAAGGAACGCUAAUACCGCAUACGUCCUACGGGAGAAAGCAGGGGACCUUCGGGCCUUGCGCUAUCAGAUGAGCCUAGGUCGGAUUAGCUAGUAGGUGGGGUAAUGGCUCACCUAGGCGACGAUCCGUAACUGUUGUGAGAGGAUGAUCCGCCACACUGGAACUAAGACACGGGCCAGGCUCCUGCGGGAGGCAGCAGUGGGGAAUAUUGGAAAAUGGGCGAAAGCCUAAUCCAGCCAUGCCGCGUGUGUGAAGAAGGUCUUCGGAUUGUAGAGCACUUCAAGUUGGGAGGAAGGGCAGUAAGUUAAUACCUUGAUGUUUUGACGUUACCGACAGAAUAAGCACCGGCUAACUCUGUGCCAGCCGCCGCGGUAA
Molecule: ribosomal RNA, 500 nt
Filed under: uncultured bacterium
Lineage: Bacteria
Description: partial 16S ribosomal RNA
Rfam family: Bacterial small subunit ribosomal RNA
Source: RNAcentral